Molecule: ribosomal RNA, 460 nt
Filed under: uncultured bacterium
Lineage: Bacteria
Description: partial 16S ribosomal RNA
Rfam family: Bacterial small subunit ribosomal RNA
Source: RNAcentral
CCUACGGGAGGCAGCAGUGAGGAAUAUUGGUCAAUGGACGGAAGUCUGAACCAGCCAUGCCGCGUGCAGGAAGACGGCUCUAUGAGUUGUAAACUUCUUUUAUACAGGGGUAAACCUUAAUACGUGUAUUCAUCUGAAUGUACUUUAUGAAUAAGGAUCGGCUAACUCCGUGCCAGCAGCCGCGGUAAUACGGAGGAUCCCAGCGUUAUCCGGUUUUAUUGGGUUUAACGGGUGCGUAGGUGGAUUGAUAAGUCAGAUGUGAAAUGUCCGAGCUUAACACGGGAACUGCCUUUAAUACUGGUGAUCUAGAGAAUAGAUGCGGUAGGCGGAAUGUGUGGUGUAGCGGUGAAAUGCUUAGAGAUCAUACAGAACACCGAUUGCGAAGGCAGCUUACCAAUCUAUAACUGACGUUGAGGCACGAAAGCGUGGGUAGCAAACAGGAUUAGAUACCCCUGUAGUC